This 253-nucleotide ribosomal RNA is filed under the name uncultured bacterium. RNAcentral's name for it is "partial 16S ribosomal RNA". It matches the Rfam family "Bacterial small subunit ribosomal RNA", at positions 524 to 776 of the family's 1533-position model. The record is from RNAcentral.
UACGGAGAGUGCAAGCGUUAAUCGGAGUUACUGGGCGUAAAGCGCACGCAGGCGGUCUGCUAAGUUUGGAGUGACAGUUGGUGGCUUAACUGCCAAAGUGCUUCGAAAACUGACAGACUUGAGGGCUUCAGAGGGACACGGAAUUCCGGGUGGAGUGGUGAAAUGCGUAGAGAUCCGGAGGAACACCAAAGGCGAAGGCAGUGUCCUGGGGAGUACCUGACGCUCAGGUGCGAAAGCCAGGGGAGCGAACGGG